UGCGGAAGGAUCAUUAU
RNAcentral lists this ribosomal RNA (17 nucleotides) under Agaricus bisporus (cultivated mushroom). Its description in RNAcentral is "partial 18S ribosomal RNA". Lineage: Eukaryota; Fungi; Basidiomycota; Agaricomycetes; Agaricales; Agaricaceae. The record is from RNAcentral. RNAcentral also lists the same sequence under 12 other names.